Molecule: ribosomal RNA, 1404 nt
Filed under: uncultured Bacilli bacterium
Lineage: Bacteria; Bacillati; Bacillota; Bacilli
Description: bacterial SSU rRNA
Rfam family: Bacterial small subunit ribosomal RNA
Source: RNAcentral
GGACGAACGCUGGCGGCGUGCCUAAUACAUGCAAGUCGAACGAGCUCUCCUAAAUUGAUUUUAUGCUUGCAUAAAUGAUUUUUAGAUUCGGAGCGAGUGGCGAACUGGUGAGUAACACGUGGGUAACCUGCCCCGAAGCGGGGGAUAACAUUUGGAAACAAAUGCUAAUACCGCAUAAUUAGUUGGAACCGCAUGGUUCCAACUUGAAAGAUGGCUCUGCUAUCACUUUGGGAUGGACCCGCGCCGUAUUAGUUAGUUGGUGAGAUAAAAGCCCACCAAGACGAUGAUACGUAGCCGACCUGAGAGGGUAAUCGGCCACAUUGGGACUGAGACACGGCCCAGACUCCUACGGGAGGCAGCAGUAGGGAAUCUUCCACAAUGGACGAAAGUCUGAUGGAGCAACGCCGCGUGAGUGAUGAAGGUUUUCGGAUCGUAAAACUCUGUUGUUAAAGAAGAACAAGUGUUAGAGUAACUGUUAACACUUUGACGGUAUUUAACCAGAAAGCCACGGCUAACUACGUGCCAGCAGCCGCGGUAAUACGUAGGUGGCAAGCGUUGUCCGGAUUUAUUGGCGUAAAGCGAGCGCAGGCGGUUUUGUAAGUCUGCUGUGAAAGCCCUCAGCUCAACUGAGGAAGUGCAGUGGAAACUACAAAACUUGAGUACAGAAGAGGAAAGUGGAACUCCAUGUGUAGCGGUGAAAUGCGUAGAUAUAUGGAAGAACACCAGUGGCGAAGGCGGCUUUCUGGUCUGUUACUGACGCUGAGGCUCGAAAGCAUGGGUAGCGAACAGGAUUAGAUACCCUGGUAGUCCAUGCCGUAAACGAUGAAUACUAGGUGUUGGAGGGUUUCCGCCCUUCAGUGCCGCAGCUAACGCAUUAAGUAUUCCGCCUGGGGAGUACGACCGCAAGGUUGAAACUCAAAGGAAUUGACGGGGGCCCGCACAAGUGGUGGAGCAUGUGGUUUAAUUCGAUGCUACGCGAAGAACCUUACCAGCUCUUGACAUCUUCUGCCAACCCAAGAGAUUGGGCGUUCCCUUCGGGGACAGAAUGACAGGUGGUGCAUGGUUGUCGUCAGCUCGUGUCGUGAGAUGUUGGGUUAAGUCCCGCAACGAGCGCAACCCUUAUUAUUAGUUGCCAGCAUUUAGUUGGGCACUCUAGUGAGACUGCCGGUGAUAAACCGGAGGAAGGUGGGGACGACGUCAAAUCAUCAUGCCCCUUAUGAGCUGGGCUACACACGUGCUACAAUGGAUGGUACAACGAGUCGCGAAACCGCGAGGUCAAGCUAAUCUCUUAAAGCCAUUCUCAGUUCGGAUUGCAGGCUGCAACUCGCCUGCAUGAAGUUGGAAUCACUAGUAAUCGUGGAUCAGCAUGCCACGGUGAAUACGUUCCCGGGCCUUGUACACACC